Molecule: ribosomal RNA, 460 nt
Filed under: uncultured bacterium
Lineage: Bacteria
Description: partial 16S ribosomal RNA
Rfam family: Bacterial small subunit ribosomal RNA
Source: RNAcentral
CCUACGGGUGACAGCAGUGAGGAAUAUUGGUCAAUGGGCGAGAGCCUGAACCAGCAAAGUAGCGUGAAGGAUGAAGGCCCUACGGGUGGUAAACUUCUUUUAUAAAGGAAUAAAGUGAGGCACGAGUGCCAUUUUGUGUGUACGUUAUGAAUAAGGAUCGGCUAACUCCGUGCCAGCAGCCGCGGUAAUACGUAGGAUCCGAGGGUUAUCCGGAUUGAUUGGGUUUAAAGGUAGCGUAGAUGGGUUGGUAAGGCAGUUGGGAAAGUGUUUGGCUUAACCGUCAAAUUGCAAUUGAAACUGGCAGCCUUGAGUACAGGUGAGGUAGGCGGAAUUCGUGGUGUAGCGGUGAAAUGCUUAGAUAUCACGAAGAACACCGAUUGCGAAGGCAGCCUACUAAACUGCCACUGACAUUGAUGCACGAAAGUGUGGGUAUCAAACAGGAUUAGAUACCCUGGUAGUC